Molecule: ribosomal RNA, 301 nt
Filed under: uncultured bacterium
Lineage: Bacteria
Description: partial 16S ribosomal RNA
Rfam family: Bacterial small subunit ribosomal RNA
Source: RNAcentral
CAGUCGCCGCGGUAAUACCGAGGGUGCGAGCGUUAAUCGGAUUUACUGGGCGUAAAGCGUGCGUAGGCGGCUUUUUAAGUCGGAUGUGAAAUCCCUGAGCUUAACUUAGGAAUUGCAUUCGAUACUGGGAAGCUAGAGUAUGGGAGAGGAUGGUAGAAUUCCAGGUGUAGCGGUGAAAUGCGUAGAGAUCUGGAGGAAUACCGAUGGCGAAGGCAGCCAUCUGGCCUAAUACUGACGCUGAGGUACGAAAGCAUGGGGAGCAAACAGGAUUAGAUACCCGCGUAGUCCCUGUCUCUUAUAC